This is an RNA transcript of Panicum hallii, 1486 nucleotides long. It is a transcript of the gene named NEDD8-specific protease 1-like, with no coding region annotated. The transcript is spliced from 6 exons. Lineage: Eukaryota; Viridiplantae; Streptophyta; Magnoliopsida; Poales; Poaceae. The record is from RefSeq and is a predicted model, not a curated record.
GGCUUAUUUUAUUUAUCAUAUAUGCUGGCAGAGUUGCUAGACCUGAGUGGGAUUUUGACCGUGUUCUUUUGCGGCAUUGUCAUGUCCCAUUAUGCAAGGCACAAUGUGACAGCGAACUCAAGAAUCACGACAUAGUGAGAUUACACUGUUUCCAAAUUUAUCAGAAAUUGGUAUCAUUAUUUGAGUGGAAGACAUCAAAGGCAAGGUGAGCAACACAGAUCACAUGUCUCUGGCAUUUCCCUAUCUUCUGCUGUCCUGAAGUAGCUUCUAUUUAUUAUUUCGUAUUAAGUUAUCUAAAAUCAUGUCUCAGUGAUAUGGUUUUGUAAUUUUUUUUAGUUUUAAGACAUCCAUCAGUAUCUUUGGUAUCAUCAUCCUGCUUGUGUUACUUGGACGAGCUGCAUUUGUUUUCCCUAUAUCCAUUUUGUCAAUAACAUGAGUGGAAGUUCUGAGAGAAUGCAAAUCACGUUCAAGCACCAGGUUGUCAUUUGGUGGGCUGGGCUCAUGAGAGGCGCUGUUUCGAUUGCACUAGCAUAUAAUCAGGUAUUUGGCUUGCUGACUAGGCCUCUCAUAAGUGCCAUGCUCCCGCGUCACUCGAGGGCGCCGUCCAGAGGCCAUAGCACCGGCAGUAACUCCCCAAAGGAUGACUUCACCCUGCCAUUUUUCUCAACUAAUGAGGAUGCAUCUGGCAGCGGUAUCGCCUUGGAGCAAGCCAUGAGUAAAUUCUAGGAGCCGUCAUGAACAGAUCGUCCCAUUUUGAUGAUUUAAGGAUCUGCUAUGGCUUGUUAGAAAUUCAUGCAGCCUGACAACUUCUAAAUCAUUUUCCUUGGUGAUCCAAUUGUUACCUGAAUGUUAUAUGUAAAUUACUAUAAAUUCUAGGAGCCGUCAUGAACAGAUCGUCCCAUUUUGAUGAUUUAAGCAUCUGCUAUGGCUUGUUAGAAAUUCAUGCAACCUGACAACUUCUAAAUGGUUGACAGAUUGAUAAAAGAGGCUCCAGAAUCUGCAGAAGUAGGUGGUGGUGCAGAAUCUGAAGGAGGCAGCGGGUUUUCCUCCAGUACUGUUUAGAAGGAUCCACAAAAUAUGGACACAGGAACGCAUGUAUUACAGAAUGGUGGAGAAGGUCUUGGAAGAAAUUACAGAAGCGUCAUAGGAAGGGCUUCAACUCCCUAUGCAUUCUCGGAGCUUGGAUUCUAUGGAAACACAGGAAUGCAUGUGCCUUCGAUGGGAGGGCCCCAAAUCUGCAGCGGGUACUCCAGGAUUUCAAGGAUGAAUCCCUGCUUUGGAGGUUCGCUGGGGCUAAGGAACUUGCUGCCCUGAACCUGGGAAGGUUGGUUGAGCAAGUUUAAGAUGUUAGGUGAUGUGUGGUCAGGGCCUAGGUUCAUCCUUUUGUAAUAGUUCUACCAGGUUUUUGCAACCCUCACUCUGGUCCAAGGUGAGCUGCUGUCUAUUGUAAUUGGACAACCCCUUUUUUCCUCUUAAUACAAAGAUA